UAUGGGGGGAAAAAGAUUUACAAGGGAUUUUAAAAGGGUUUUAAAAUA
RNAcentral lists this small RNA (48 nucleotides) under Arabidopsis thaliana (thale cress). RNAcentral describes it as "ATSL194030". Lineage: Eukaryota; Viridiplantae; Streptophyta; Magnoliopsida; Brassicales; Brassicaceae. The record is from RNAcentral.